RNAcentral lists this unclassified non-coding RNA (1017 nucleotides) under Hevea brasiliensis (rubber tree). The record is from RNAcentral. Lineage: Eukaryota; Viridiplantae; Streptophyta; Magnoliopsida; Malpighiales; Euphorbiaceae.
GGGGACCUAUCUUCCCUGUGAAAGUCAAAAGAUCGUAAUUGUGAAUUUUAAUCAAGAAGAGAUCUAAAACCUAAAACCCUAGCUCUGCCAAUUCGACGAUCAUCACAUUAUUGAACAACCUGCAGAUUUCUCAUUAUUGAGGAGGCUACUAAUUCUGAGGAUUUAUCAAUGGCGGUGCCAGUGGUAAGGUUUCCGAUUUUCUUAUUGGUGAGAGUAAUCGGAAUUGCGGUGGCAGCGUUGGUGUUGAUUUGGAAUGUCCAUUACAGAGGAGGUUUAGCACUCAUCUCUGACAACAAAGCUCUCAUCUUUAACGUUCAUCCUGUUUUAAUGGUUAUCGGCCUUGUCCUUCUAAAUGGUGAAGCAAUGCUGGCGUACAAGACAGUCUCAGGAACAAAGAGCUUCCGGAAAUCAGUUCAUCUUGUCCUGCAGUUCUUGGCUUUCUUUUUGAGUCUAAUUGGUCUAUGGGCUGCUUGGAAGUUUCAUAAUGACAAAGGAAUCGACAAUUUUUACAGUCUUCACUCAUGGUUGGGCUUAUUUUGCCUUUUUCUAUUUGGCGUCCAGUGGGCUGUCGGUUUUGCAACUUUCUGGUAUCCAGGCGGUUCAAGGAACAGCAGAGCGACUCUUCUACCAUGGCAUGUCUUUUUUGGCAUCUAUAUAUACGCCCUUGCUAUUGCUACCUGUGCUACUGGCUUCUUAGAGAAAGCUACAUUCCUUCAAGCAAGCCACAUAAUCUCACGCUACUCCACCGAGGCAUUGCUAGUGAACUGUUUGGGUGUCUUGACUGUUGUUUUGGGUGGAUUGGUUAUUCUCGCUGUCGUCUCUCCUAUGAAUGGAAGAAGUGACAUUAUAAGAGGACCAGCAGAAUAAACACUAGUUCUCGAUGUGUAUUUCAAACUUCAAUUUUGAGAUAAAGAGGUUAUAUCAAACUUCAUGUAUGGAAGGGUUUAAUUUUAUUUGAUAAAAAAGAGAGAUGUAAGAAAAUGUUUAUUAAACUCAAAAUAUAUGAUCAGGUAACGU